GAUGAACGCUGGCGGCGUGCCUAAUACAUGCAAGUAGAACGCUGAAGCUUGGUGCUUGCACCGAGCGGAUGAGUUGCGCACGGGUGAGUAACGCGUAGGUAACCUGCCUCUUAGCGGGGGAUAACUAUUGGAAACGAUAGCUAAUACCGCAUAAAAGUCGAUAUCGCAUGAUAUUGAUUUGAAAGGUGCAAAUGCAUCACUAAGAGAUGGACCUGCGUUGUAUUAGCUAGUUGGUGAGGUAACGGCUCACCAAGGCGACGAUACAUAGCCGACCUGAGAGGGUGAUCGGCCACACUGGGACUGAGACACGGCCCAGACUCCUACGGGAGGCAGCAGUAGGGAAUCUUCGGCAAUGGGGGCAACCCUGACCGAGCAACGCCGCGUGAGUGAAGAAGGUUGUCGGAUCGUAAAGCUCUGUUGUAAGAGAAGAACGAGUGUGAGAGUGGAAAGUUCACACUGUGACGGUAACUUACCAGAAAGGGACGGCUAACUACGUG
This 497-nucleotide ribosomal RNA is filed under the name uncultured bacterium. RNAcentral describes it as "partial 16S ribosomal RNA". It matches the Rfam family "Bacterial small subunit ribosomal RNA", at positions 28 to 507 of the family's 1533-position model. The record is from RNAcentral.